GUCAAACUUGAAUAUUAAUACUUUUAUUUUUAAUACUAGAUUUUUAUAAAAAAUAAAAGUAUGAGAAAACAUAGUUUAAUGAAUUUCAAUGUAUGCGAAUAUUUUACAAAUUUUUUUGAAAUUCACACGCAAUAUUCUGAAAGUUUACAACUGUCAAUGGGUCCAUACAAAUUAUGUAACAUUUGAAACAAUUAACAGAAAUUUAAAGGGUUCUUAUUUAACUGAAUGUUUAAAAGUUCUCUUGAAAGGAAGCAAUCUUGGAAGAAAUUAUUUAAAACAUAGGAUAAUUAAAAAUAUGUUUAAUAAAGAACAAUAAGUAAAUGUUUCAAGAUAGAGUCAUGCAGUUGGGAAACAAUGAUCUUUUAACUAGAGGUCCAAAAUUCUUUUAAAAAAAUAAUAGAUUUUUUAUUGGUAUCCAGGGAGCAAGGUUACUACUGUUCUUUUCUUAAACACACAAAAAGCACCAAUUGGCAAGGUCACCUGUUUGUAUCCAUGAGAUCAUAUACAUGAAGAGUGAUAAAUAAAACCCAACCAAUACUUUUAUUAAUAUACAGGAAUCCCCCCUUACCUGCAGGGCAUCCAAGACUCCCGAGUGAAUGCCUAAAACCACAGAUAGUACCAAGCCCUACACAUAGCAUGUCUUUUCCUAGACAUAUAUCCUUAUGGAAAGGUUUAAUUUAUAAAUGAGGCACAGUAAGAGACAAACAGGAAUAAAAUUGAACAAUUAUGACAAUAUGCUGUAAUAAAAGUUAUAUGAAUGUGGUCUCUCUCAAAACAUUUCAUUGUACUGUACUAAUCUAUUUUCUGACUGUAGCUGACCACAGGUAACUAAAACUGAAAUGUGAAACCAUGGAUAAGGGAGGACUACUGUAUGUGCUGUAUGUGAUUCCUAAUACAAGGCUAUUUAUUUAUUUAAAACGAUUUAUCAUUGUGAUGUCGUUUCUGCUUUUUAAUACAAGGUCCUUCAAAAAUUAUUUGUUUUGCUCAGGGCAACUAGUUAUAAGGAUUUAAAGCACAUGAAUGUUCAAUAUUAAAAGGUAAUUGAAAAAAAACUCCAAAUUGAAUCUCCAAAUCUUCUAGUUUCUCCCAUUGUCUGAUGUUUGAAAACAGAUGUGUUAAUGACUACUACAUCAUGGCUUACUUUCAUUUUUUUCUUCCCUAGCUAGGAAAGGAAUUAGGAGAGCUCCCAAUAAACAUGCCUGUAUGUUGCUGCCUCUACAAACACAAGGGAGGAACAAGAACAACAACAACAAAAACCUGACAAUUUCCCCAUAGCUGGCAUAUACAAUUUAAUUAAUUUUGGAUUUGUGAAAUUUGGCAUAAGGUGCCUAGGAAUUGCUCCUGGCUUACUUAGAAUAUGAAAAUAUGAGAUAAGACUGCCAGACCUAAACUUCUCCAGAAGAAGGGUAAAGGCUGCACACUAAAUUUUCUCCUAAUAUGAUAAAAGUGCCUCCAGCCUUUAUCUCUUCUGCCCCUCUGCCUUUUGUCUUUUGGAUGGUCAUGGUUAUAGAUGUUGGGAAGGCACUGAGUUAAAGAGAAGACACUUGGGAAUUAGAUCCCUAGAAAAUGGCCCUUGCCUUAUGCCUUGUGCAAGUCCCGGAGGUGCCAUUCACAUUGUAGUCCAUAUGACCUGCCAGUUGCUUAUGGUGAUCUUUCUGCUUCUAAAUCCUGCUUCCCAAAGUAUGAGAUACACAGGGCAAGCAAUACAUUCAAGAACCCAGCUUGCUAAAUGUCUUUGCCUCCAACAUCCUUUCAAAUGAUCAUAAGUGGCAUAACCUUAGUGAAUUUGGGUCCCCAUAGAUACAAAACAAAGACCAGUGGCUUUUGACUCAGAAGACCAAGUUUCAAUCCUGACUCGCCACAUGCUAGUUUUGUGCUCUUGGUCAUGUUACUUAAAUUCUCGGAGUUACAAUGUUCUCACCAGUAAAACAACAAUGACAGAUUCAUAGAGUUGCUAAAGAGGAUUAAUUAGGAUAGCACAGGUAAAGUUCCUGGCACACAGAAAGCACUUAAUCAAUGUGAGCCUCUCUGAAGUGAAAGUAACGCAUCCUAAUACUCAGGAGAUUUAGACCAGAGAGCUAUACUGUCCAAUAUGGCAGCCACUAGCAAUGUGUGGCUGUCAAUUAAUUAGCAUUAGACUUUAAAAUUCAGUUCCCAGGAUGCUCAAUAGUCACAUGUGAUGGAUGACUAUAUGUUGGACGGCACUGAUAUUUACCAUUGCUGUCAUACAGAAAGUUUUACUGGACAAUAGAAGAAAUGAUAGAAUUAAACAAGAAUCCAAAGUCCAGAAGCCAACAUCUUUGCCAUUAACUACGAAACUCAAGAGGAGCAACUUUAUCUCACUUUGUCACAAUUUCCUCACUGGUAAAAUGGAUACUGCCUUUGCAGUAAUGUGGUGGGGAUCAAGUACACUGCAGUCACUUUUUUUUUUCCUUGCUUUAGUCUUUCCAAGACUAAACAAUGCAUGACAUACUUACUAGCAAGGAUCACUUUGAGGAUGAGUUAGUUGAUAGGUGCAGCCCUUUGGUAGUUUAAUAUUCAUAGCCAUGAUUUGGUAUUAUUCCAAUGCACCUGUGAGCAGUUAGGAACAGCAUAUGUUCAAAAGUGCAAGGAGCUACUGCAGACAGUCCUUGUGGUGAUGGAAAGACAAAAAGUAACAAAACUGAAUUGGUUUUCAUUGGCAAGUGGCCUUUUGUAGACUUUUUGUAGCUCUCACAGGGUUUAAAAUGGAAAGAUCAAAGAUCUUAUUUCCUACUUUUCCAUUUCUGUUUCACUUUAAUAUCUAAAUCUUCCUUUCUCAGGUUUGAAAACAAUACUCCGUUGCUGUCAUUUUGGGGGCAAUGUUGUAUUUUUUUAUUUAUCUAGAGCUGGGGUUGGCAAACCUUUUAUGUAAAGGGCCAAAGAGGAAAUAUUUUAGGGUCAUAAGGUUUCUAUCACAACUACUCAGCUCUGCUGUGUAGCAUGAAAGUAGCCACAGACAACAUGCACACAAAUGGGUGUGUCUGUGACAAUAAAACUUAAUUUACUAAAAUAGGCCCUUGGGCCUUAGUUUGCCAACUCCAGAUCUAGAAAAAUAUGAAAGAACAUAUCCUUUUCACUUCCCCACAUUGUUUCCUUCCCCACUAUGAUAUAUAUUUUCUCGCUUAUUUUAAUUUUGAACAUAUAGUGUAUUCUACAAAUGAUCACAAUCAAACAUUCAAAUAUUUACUUUAGUAAUGUGAAAAAAUAAUAUUCCUUCUAAUUUUUAUCAAGGCUUUGCACUUAAAAAACAAUAUAAUUCUUAAUGACAUUUUUUUUUUCCUCAGAGAGAAAACUGAGAGGAAGAGACAUGAAAAUAAAAUGUAGAAGAAUUGUAAUUUAAUUCUUGGAGGAGGGGAUAAAGCAAUUAAAUCAUUUAUGUGAUUAUUUCAUAAAAGGAUUAAUAACAAGCAAAUAGCCUUUUAUUUUCAAAUAAGCUCAAAGCCAAAACAAUCAAAAACACUGAUUACAACUCAAGAUGAGAUUUUGGGUGGGGACACAGCCAAACCAUAUCAGGUAGUUAAUAUGUUAAAUGUAAACUUGUCUGAGUUUUUUAUGGCCUAUAUUUAUUGUAUAGAAGACCACAAAAAUUAUUGUAAAUGAACCGGGGCCAGAUUCAGGAAUAGGUUACUGACCUGAAACUGAUCACUGGAGUCAUAUUCAAUUUUGGGAGGUGUCUUAGAAUUACCAAGAGAAGCUUCUUUCCUUCCUCUCUCCUUCCUCCCUCUUUCUUUCGUUUAUUUGCUCAUUUAUUUUCUCUUUCCCUCUGCUCCCUCUCUCUUUCUCUUCUGAGGAUG
Molecule: long non-coding RNA, 3815 nt
Filed under: Homo sapiens (human)
Lineage: Eukaryota; Metazoa; Chordata; Mammalia; Primates; Hominidae
Description: HSALNT0055786
Source: RNAcentral